GAUGAACGCUGGCGGCGUGCCUAAUACAUGCAAGUAGAACGCUGAAGCUUGGUGCUUGCACCGAGCGGAUGAGUUGCGAACGGGUGAGUAACGCGUAGGUAACCUGCCUCUUAGUGGGGGAUAACUAUUGGAAACGAUAGCUAAUACCGCAUAAAAGACGAUAUCGCAUGAUAUUGAUUUGAAAGAUGCAAUUGCAUCACUAAGAGAUGGACCUGCGUUGUAUUAGCUAGUUGGUGAGGUAACGGCUCACCAAGGCGACGAUACAUAGCCGACCUGAGAGGGUGAUCGGCCACACUGGGACUGAGACACGGCCCAGACUCCUACGGGAGGCAGCAGUAGGGAAUCUUCGGCAAUGGGGGCAACCCUGACCGAGCAACGCCGCGUGAGUGAAGAAGGUUUUCGGAUCGUAAAGCUCUGUUGUAAGAGAAGAACGAGUGUGAGAGUGGAAAGUUCACACUGUGACGGUAACUUACCAGAAAGG
This 481-nucleotide ribosomal RNA is filed under the name Streptococcus parasanguinis. RNAcentral describes it as "bacterial SSU rRNA". It matches the Rfam family "Bacterial small subunit ribosomal RNA", at positions 28 to 491 of the family's 1533-position model. The record is from RNAcentral. Lineage: Bacteria; Bacillati; Bacillota; Bacilli; Lactobacillales; Streptococcaceae.